RNAcentral lists this ribosomal RNA (315 nucleotides) under Bathycoccus prasinos. Its description in RNAcentral is "partial Bacterial large subunit ribosomal RNA". It matches the Rfam family "Bacterial large subunit ribosomal RNA", at positions 1147 to 1461 of the family's 2925-position model. Lineage: Eukaryota; Viridiplantae; Chlorophyta; Mamiellophyceae; Mamiellales; Bathycoccaceae. The record is from RNAcentral.
AAACAAGUUGUCCUGAGGCGAAGAUGUAACGGGGCUCAAGUGAUGCACCGAAGCUUAGGGUGUACAGUUUACUGUACGCGGUAGCGGAGCGUUCCGUAAGCGAGUGAAGGAGAAGGGUAACCGACUCUGGACGUAUCGGAAGUGCGAAUGCUGACAUGAGUAGCGACAAAGAGGGUGAGAUGCCCUCUCGCCGAAAGACCAAGGGUUCCUGCUCAACGCUAAUCGGAGCAGGGUUAGCCGGCCCCUAAGACGAGCCCGAAGGGGGUAGUCGAUGGGAACCACGUAAAUAUUCGUGGGCCUGAAGAUGUGUGACGG